Molecule: non-coding RNA, 102 nt
Organism: Mycena belliarum
Lineage: Eukaryota; Fungi; Basidiomycota; Agaricomycetes; Agaricales; Mycenaceae
Source: the annotation of a GenBank genome assembly
GACUCGGUGGCGGAUGGCCCGCAUCUCCUGCUGCUAGGCAUUCUGCUACGAUGAUCAACAAGCUCAACGGAGAAGCCGCCCGUUCGAUUCGGGCCCGAGUCA